UACGUAGGGGGCAAGCGUUAUCCGGAUUUACUGGGUGUAAAGGGAGCGUAGACGGCGAUGCAAGCCAGAUGUGAAAGCCCGGGGCUCAACCCCGGGACUGCAUUUGGGACUGUAUAGCUAGAGUGUCGGAGAGGCAGGCGGAAUUCCUAGUGUAGCGGUGAAAUGCGUAGAUAUUAGGAGGAACACCAGUGGCGAAGGCGGCCUGCUGGACGAUGACUGACGUUGAGGCUCGAAAGCGUGGGGAGCAAACAGG
RNAcentral lists this ribosomal RNA (253 nucleotides) under uncultured bacterium. RNAcentral describes it as "partial 16S ribosomal RNA". It matches the Rfam family "Bacterial small subunit ribosomal RNA", at positions 524 to 776 of the family's 1533-position model. The record is from RNAcentral.